Molecule: ribosomal RNA, 373 nt
Filed under: uncultured organism
Description: partial 16S ribosomal RNA
Rfam family: Bacterial small subunit ribosomal RNA
Source: RNAcentral
GUAGGUGGCAAGCGUUGUCCGGAAUUAUUGGGCGUAAAGCGCGCGCAGGCGGUUCUUUAAGUCUGAUGUGAAAGCCCACGGCUCAACCGUGGAGGGUCAUUGGAAACUGGAGAACUUGAGUACAGAAGAGGAAAGCGGAAUUCCACGUGUAGUGGUGAAAUGCGUAGAGAUGUGGAGGAACACCAGUGGCGAAGGCGGCUUUCUGGUCUGUAACUGACGCUGAGGCGCGAAAGCGUGGGGAGCAAACAGGAUUAGAUACCCUGGUAGUCCACGCCGUAAACGAUGAGUGCUAAGUGUUAGGGGGGUUUCCGCCCCCCUUAGUGCUGCAGCUAACGCAUUAAGCACUCCGCCUGGGAGUACGGCCGCAAGGCUG